Molecule: transfer RNA, 77 nt
Filed under: Pseudomonadota bacterium
Lineage: Bacteria; Pseudomonadati; Pseudomonadota
Also listed under: 1 other name
Description: Proteobacteria bacterium (groundwater metagenome) tRNA-Glu
Rfam family: tRNA
About the family: Transfer RNA (tRNA) molecules are approximately 80 nucleotides in length.
Source: RNAcentral
GGCCCCUUCGUCUAGCGGUUCAGGACAUUGGCCUCUCACGCCGAAGAUCACGGGUUCGAAUCCCGUAGGGGUCACCA